This 451-nucleotide ribosomal RNA is filed under the name uncultured bacterium. RNAcentral describes it as "partial 16S ribosomal RNA". It matches the Rfam family "Bacterial small subunit ribosomal RNA", at positions 29 to 523 of the family's 1533-position model. The record is from RNAcentral.
AACGAACGCUGGCGGCAGGCUUAACACAUGCAAGUCGAACGGGUGUAGCAAUACAUCAGUGGCAGACGGGUGAGUAACACGUGGGAACCUUCCUAGGGGUACGGAACAACUCAGGGAAACUUGAGCUAAUACCGUAUACGUCCGCGAGGAGAAAGAUUUAUCGCCCUUAGACGGGCCCGCGUCGGAUUAGCUAGUUGGUGGGGUAACGGCCUACCAAGGCGACGAUCCGUAGCUGAUCUUAGAGGAUGAUCAGCCACACUGGGACUGAGACACGGCCCAGACUCCUACGGGAGGCAGAAGUGGGGAAGCUUGGACAAUGGGCGCAAGCCUGAUCCAGCCAUGCCGCGUGAGUGAAGAAGGUCUUCGGAUUGUAAAGCUCUUUUGCCAGGGACGAUAAUGACGGUACCUGGAGAAUAAGCCCCGGUAAACUUCGUGCCAGCAGCCGCAGUAA